This is a long non-coding RNA of Callorhinchus milii (elephant shark), 124 nucleotides long. RefSeq lists it as uncharacterized. The transcript is spliced from 3 exons. NCBI's taxonomy places the organism in Eukaryota, Metazoa, Chordata, Chondrichthyes, Chimaeriformes, Callorhinchidae. The record is from RefSeq and is a predicted model, not a curated record.
GCUUUGACGAUCUCUCCUGGGACUGAUUCCCCAGGCACACCCCAAAAUCAGCGGCAAGUCCAGAAGGUUGGCCUGCUCCAAUCUCUCUAACAGAAAACAUGACUCUGGAAUGCUGAUCGCUUAG